RNAcentral lists this small nuclear RNA (107 nucleotides) under Tupaia belangeri (northern tree shrew). Lineage: Eukaryota; Metazoa; Chordata; Mammalia; Scandentia; Tupaiidae. The record is from RNAcentral.
GUGCUCACCUCAGCAGCACACAUACUAAAAUUGGAACAAUACAGAGAAGACUAGCAUGGCCCCUGCAUGAGGGUGACAUGCAAAUUUGUGAAGUGUCCCAUAUUUUU